This 225-nucleotide long non-coding RNA is filed under the name Cicer arietinum (chickpea). RNAcentral's name for it is "long non-coding RNA (CARI_LNC002652)". The record is from RNAcentral. Lineage: Eukaryota; Viridiplantae; Streptophyta; Magnoliopsida; Fabales; Fabaceae.
UGUAACUUCCCAAAUCAAUUGGGAAAUCGAUUUUAUAAAUAGUUGAGCCCCUGUAACUUCCCAAAUCGAUUGGGAAAUCGAUUUCCCUGCUUAUCCUUCCAAAAAUACAUAAACUAAUUCAAUCACAUUCAUACACAACUCCAAAUCUUAAUACUUAGCAAUUCCCACACAAUCACCACGACAAAUUGGGUUUCGAAAUAGUUUUACAAUCCAUCACACUUACAC